GGCUACAUCACGUUGAAACAGCUGUUCUCAUACGAUCACCGAAGUUAAGCAACGUCGAGCCUGGUCAGAUGGAUGACCUCUUGGGAAUAUCAGGUGCUGUAA
Non-coding RNA from Acanthosepion pharaonis, 102 nucleotides. NCBI's taxonomy places the organism in Eukaryota, Metazoa, Mollusca, Cephalopoda, Sepiida, Sepiidae. The record is from the annotation of a GenBank genome assembly.